AUUGAACGCUGGCGGCAUGCGUAACACAUGCAAGUCGAACGGUGUUUGGUGCUUGCACCAGACAUAGUGGCGGACGGGUGAGUAAUGCGUAGGAAUCUGUCUUAGAGAGGGGGACAACCCGAGGAAACUUGGGCUAAAACCGCAUAUUCUCGAGAGAGGAAAGCAGGGGACCGGAAACGGCCUUGUGCUCUAAGGUGAGCCUACGUCGGAUUAGCUAGUUGGUAGGGUAAAAGCCUACCAAGGCGAUGAUCUGUAGCUGGUCUGAGAGGACGGACAGCCACACUGGGACUGAGACACGGCCCAGACUCCUACGGGAGGCAGCAGUGGGGAAUAUUGGACAAUGGGGGGAACCCUGAUCCAGCGAUGCCGCGUGUGUGAAGAAGGCCUGCGGGUUGUAAAGCACUUUCAGUGGGAAAGAGAAGCGUCUUGUGAAUAAUGGGACGUGGAGACGUUACGUCACAGAAGAAGCACCGGCUAACUCUGUGCCAGCAGCCGCGGUAAUC
This 503-nucleotide ribosomal RNA is filed under the name uncultured bacterium. RNAcentral describes it as "bacterial SSU rRNA". It matches the Rfam family "Bacterial small subunit ribosomal RNA", at positions 29 to 525 of the family's 1533-position model. The record is from RNAcentral.